Molecule: non-coding RNA, 79 nt
Organism: Amylocarpus encephaloides
Lineage: Eukaryota; Fungi; Ascomycota; Leotiomycetes; Helotiales
Source: the annotation of a GenBank genome assembly
GGUCGUAUACGAGUAGUGUAGCUGGUUAGCACGUUGGAUUUUGAUUCCCGAGACCUGAGUUCGAUUCUCGGUAUGGCCU